ACACAUUACAUGGUGCAGGGGAAAUACCAUGUCAUAAAAGUGAUUUUCCCAGGGGGAGGCUCAUCUAUUGCACUUCAGGUAUGCUGCUAAACCCUAUGAUUUCCCCAAAUGUGGGGAACUCAACUGCAUAAUUUGUGUUAAUGGGGGAUUCCCCUU
RNAcentral lists this small nuclear RNA (156 nucleotides) under Pogona vitticeps (central bearded dragon). Its description in RNAcentral is "U1 spliceosomal RNA (ENSPVIG00000006117.1)". It matches the Rfam family "U1 spliceosomal RNA". From Rfam's summary of the family: U1 is a small nuclear RNA (snRNA) component of the spliceosome (involved in pre-mRNA splicing). Lineage: Eukaryota; Metazoa; Chordata; Lepidosauria; Squamata; Agamidae. The record is from RNAcentral.